AGACGGAGGAGGCAAGCGUUGCUCGGAUUUACUGGGCUUAAAGCGUGCGUAGGCGGCCCGGUAAGUGUCGCGUGAAAGCCCCCGGCUCAACCGGGGAAGUGCGCGGCAAACUGCCGGGCUUGAGGCCGGCAGGGGCGCCUGGAAUUCUCGGUGUAGCGGUGAAAUGCGUAGAUAUCGGGAGGAAUACCGGUGGCGAAGGCGACUUUCUGGCUAGAUACUGACGCUGAGGCGCGAAAGCGUGGGGAGCAAACAGGAUUAGAAACCCCUGUAGUCC
RNAcentral lists this ribosomal RNA (274 nucleotides) under uncultured bacterium. RNAcentral's name for it is "partial 16S ribosomal RNA". It matches the Rfam family "Bacterial small subunit ribosomal RNA", at positions 523 to 796 of the family's 1533-position model. The record is from RNAcentral.